RNAcentral lists this ribosomal RNA (708 nucleotides) under Triticum aestivum (bread wheat). Its description in RNAcentral is "partial small subunit ribosomal RNA". Lineage: Eukaryota; Viridiplantae; Streptophyta; Magnoliopsida; Poales; Poaceae. The record is from RNAcentral.
AUGGAACGCAACAAGGCUCCAGGACCGGAUGGUUUUCUAGCAGAGUUUUAUCAAUGCUUUUGGAAUGUGAUCAAGGCGGACUUGGUUCACUUGUUUAACCAGCUGCAUACCGAGGACUAUGAUAUUUCUCGCUUAAACUUUGGGGAGAUUAUCCUACUGCCUAAGAUUAAGGGGGGCAGUCGUAUUCAACAACAUCGACCGAUUUGCCUUCUCAAUGUAAGCUUCAAAAUCUUUACGAAGGUCGCAACUAACCGGUUGAACGGGGUGGCUGACCAUGUCGUCAAGCACUCAAACAACAUUCAUGCAAGGACGCACGUACUAGAUGGUGUGGUUGUGCUGCAUGAAAUGGUACAUAAGCUUCACCACAAAAAGUUGAAUGGAGUGAUAUUUAAAAUAGAUUUUGAAAAAGUCUAUGAUAAAGUUAAAUGGCCCUUUCUGUUGAAAACUUUACGCACGAACGGUUUUUCACCAAAAUGGUAUCGAUGGGUUGAGAGUUUUGUUUCUGGAGGUAGUGUGGCCAUCAUAGUUAACGAUGAGGUUGGCAACUAUUUUCAAACAAGGAAGGGGUUUCGCCAAGGGGACCCCGCAUCACCCGUUUUGUUUAACAUUGUGGCUGACAUGUUAGCUACCCUUGUUGAGCGGGCUAAGGUGUCUGGUCAGGUUAGCGGCGUCAUUCCUCAUUUGGCAGAAGAGGGUUUAUCUAUCUGA